GGUAAGAUGGCAGAGAGAAAGGGGCGGUAGAUUGUAAAUUUAGGAAGAGAGGUUAAAGUCCUUUUCUUAUCA
RNAcentral lists this transfer RNA (72 nucleotides) under Zoroaster ophiactis. Its description in RNAcentral is "tRNA-Tyr". It matches the Rfam family "tRNA". From Rfam's summary of the family: Transfer RNA (tRNA) molecules are approximately 80 nucleotides in length. Lineage: Eukaryota; Metazoa; Echinodermata; Asteroidea; Forcipulatida; Zoroasteridae. The record is from RNAcentral.